This 253-nucleotide ribosomal RNA is filed under the name uncultured bacterium. Its description in RNAcentral is "partial 16S ribosomal RNA". It matches the Rfam family "Bacterial small subunit ribosomal RNA", at positions 524 to 776 of the family's 1533-position model. The record is from RNAcentral.
GACAGAGGUGCCGAGCGUUAGGCGGAAUCACUGGGCUUAAAGCGUGUGUAGGCGGACUUCUAAGUACCUUGUGAAAUCCCACAGCUCAACUGUGGAACUGCUUGGUAUACUGGUUGUCUUGGGUCAUCUAGGGGCGAGCGGAACAAACGGUGGAGCGGUGAAAUGCGUAGAUAUCGUUUGGAACGCCAAUGGUGAAAACAGCUCGCUGGGGAUGUACCGACGCUGAGACACGAAAGCCAGGGGAGCAAACGGG